UAUGGUAGAGGUGCAGCCGCGAUUAGUACCGCCUGAUAGGAUAACCGGUCCGUUUUAUUCAGACGCGAAAGGCAAAGCUGCCGAAGAGCAGAUUCCGGUAAAAUCUGUUCUGAUUGCAGUCUUAACAGGACUGUGAUUGUCAUCAGCGUUUGAUGGAGAGCUAUCGG
Molecule: non-coding RNA, 167 nt
Filed under: human gut metagenome
Description: Lysine riboswitch
Rfam family: Lysine riboswitch aptamer
About the family: Riboswitches are metabolite binding domains within certain messenger RNAs that serve as precision sensors for their corresponding targets.
Source: RNAcentral